Molecule: small nucleolar RNA, 219 nt
Organism: Nycticebus coucang (slow loris)
Lineage: Eukaryota; Metazoa; Chordata; Mammalia; Primates; Lorisidae
Product: small nucleolar RNA U3
Exons: 1
Source: RefSeq, a predicted model, not a curated record
UAGAACUAUACUUUCAGGGAUCAUUUCUAUAGUUUAUUACUAGAGAAGUCUCUCUGAAUGUGUAGCACACCGAAAACCACGAGGAGGAGGUGUAGCGUUUUCUUCUGAGCGUGAAGUUGGCAUUUGGUGUUGCAGUUGCUGUAAGUGCCACUUGCUGUUGAUGAUCGUUCUUCUUCUCUUCCCAGAGAAGAAAGAGGGAGAAAAUGCUGUCUGAGUGGU